Molecule: long non-coding RNA, 1507 nt
Organism: Halichondria panicea
Lineage: Eukaryota; Metazoa; Porifera; Demospongiae; Suberitida; Halichondriidae
Exons: 4
Source: RefSeq, a predicted model, not a curated record
GGUCAACUACAAGGUGCUAAGUAGAUGUUUUGACCACUAAUUCCUGACAACAAAAGAGUUUUUCUUCAAGUGAUCUCUGCAGCAAUCCCAAGAGGAAGUCUCAUACUACUAUUUGACAGCAACAGGAAUGGAUGAUGAGCACCUUGUAGCACUCUCCAAGCACUGUCGGGUGUGUGGGUCUUAUUUCAGGAACAAGAAAGGUCCUCAAGGCCAUAAGUAUUCCUGUUCAGACAGAAAGGUUGAUCUUCUGGAGGUUUUUGGGAUAGAAGUGAUUUUGGGAUAGAAGUGAACGAAGAUGUGGACGCAAUUCAUCCCCAAUCAUAUUGUCACCCAUGCAAUAACAUUAUUUAUCAUACUAUUAAGCACACUAGAGACGGAAAAGAUUAUAAUCCACAAAAAACGAUUGCGACCUGGUCUGCACACAGUGUUAAUUGCUCAGUUUGUUUAAGCGUUAGCACUCACAGUGUUGGUGGGAGGCCAAAGAAACAAUCCUACACACCUGGCAGACCAGCAAAAGGCUCAUUCCAGUCAGCGAUCAAGCACAUUAAAUCGAUAGCUCCUCCCACCAUCUGUCAGCAAGAAUCGGUUGUUGCCUCACAAAGUUUUUUCGAUUGUCCUGUAUGCUUGUACAUACUAGACAGACCGAUUGAGUUACAGCUGUGUGGUAGGCUUGCCUGUGCUGGUUGCUUGUGCAGGUGGUUACAAGUGUCUCAAUCCCCAUCGUGUCCUUUCUGUCACCUCAAAACAGACCACCUCAGCGAUCUUGAAAACAUCAACCCUCCUUCUGAGAUCACCCUGAGGGCAUUGGAAUGUAUUGAGGUAACAUGCAGUAAGUGUUCAAAGCAGGGAUUCCUUAGACACCACAAAGAGCACAUUGACAGCAUGUGUGGGACCUCGUAUUUCAAAUCUGCUCCACUCAACCUAUCUGAUCUCCUAAACACGCCUGAAUGCGUGUCACUGUCCCCAAUGGAGGAGAAAUGGCAAUCUAGCCUAAUCAAGCGCAGUAUGCACAGCUCCCAGUCUCUACAAGUGAAGACGGGAGGACAGUCUCGAACCCUGGUACAAGUUAGCUCACCCCGAGUAUCUAGUGCGAGUGCCAGCCAAACCACCUUGAGACGUCGCAGCGGUGAGCUGCUGGAGGUUCGAAGACUGGUGAGCGGUGGAGAAGAGGUGCUACAGAUGAGCCACGAGGUGAAAGCAACAAGGAAUGAAGACCGGGAGAAAAUGAAGACCGGGAGAAGUUGGUGGAGGAUCUCAAGAAGACAACAGGGUGCUUCCAGAUCAAGUUUUCAGUUGCAGAGAGCCUGGGGAUACAAUCGGUCGGUCUUGACAAUACCGUAUCACAAGCUGCGGAUCAUGAAGGCCAUGUUGGGACCAAAUGUAAAGAUAGCUUCAGAGAAGAAGAUGCGGGCUGAAGCUGAUUCUCUCGCGUGUGUUGAAAAUCUUAAGGCUGAGCUAGUCCCCUUCACAUUCCCACUCAGAGAUGGCGGACACACAGUGGAAGUAA